This 24-nucleotide non-coding RNA is filed under the name Cricetulus griseus (Chinese hamster). The record is from RNAcentral. Lineage: Eukaryota; Metazoa; Chordata; Mammalia; Rodentia; Cricetidae.
CUGGACAGGAACUAGAGAACAAUU